RNAcentral lists this ribosomal RNA (341 nucleotides) under uncultured bacterium. RNAcentral describes it as "bacterial SSU rRNA". It matches the Rfam family "Bacterial small subunit ribosomal RNA", at positions 43 to 368 of the family's 1533-position model. The record is from RNAcentral.
GGCCGCGGGAAUUCGAUUCAGGCCUAACACAUGCAAGUCGAGCGAUGAAGCACCUUCGGGUGUGGAUUAGCGGCGAACGGGUGAGGAACACGUGAGGAAUCUGCCUUCCACUCUGGGAUAACUCCGGGAAACCGGGGCUAAUACCGGAUACUUUCAACUGGCGGCAUCGCCGGUUGAAGAAAGUUUUUCGGUGGAAGAUGACCUCGCGGCCUAUCAGCUUGUUGGUGAGGUAAUGGCUCACCAAGGCGACGACGGGUAGCCGGCCUGAGAGGGGGACCGGCCACACUGGGACUGAGACACGGCCCAGACUCCUACGGGAGGCAGCAGUGGGGAAUAUUGGG